Long non-coding RNA from Anguilla anguilla (European eel), 227 nucleotides. RefSeq lists it as uncharacterized. The transcript is spliced from 3 exons. Lineage: Eukaryota; Metazoa; Chordata; Actinopteri; Anguilliformes; Anguillidae. The record is from RefSeq and is a predicted model, not a curated record.
CCUGUGCGGCCGCCUUUGUAGCUGUUGUUUAGAGCAGUGCUUCUCAGCCUUGGUCCUGGGGACCCCCGGUGUAUGCUGGUUUUCAUUCCAGCCACAGGCGAUCGAAAAGGAUGAAGCUGCUUAUCUCUGUUCACUCCCUCAGCGCUGUUCCCGCGGUCCGUCAGAACCACACCGGGCGUGCCCACUCACCUGUCAGGCCCCGCCCCACGAUGCCACAAACCCCCGGC